Molecule: ribosomal RNA, 449 nt
Filed under: uncultured bacterium
Lineage: Bacteria
Description: partial 16S ribosomal RNA
Rfam family: Bacterial small subunit ribosomal RNA
Source: RNAcentral
AACGAACGCUGGCGGCAGGCUUAAUACAUGCAAGUCGAGCGGGCACUUCGGUGUCAGCGGCGCACGGGUGCGUAACGCGUGGGAACAUGCCCUUAGGUACGGAACAACACAGGGAAACUUGUGCUAAUACCGUAUAAUAUCUCCGGAUCAAAGAUUUAUCGCCUAAGGAUUGGCCCGCGUUAGAUUAGGUAGUUGGUGGGGUAAUGGCCUACCAAGCCGACGAUCUAUAGCUGGUCUGAGAGGAUGAUCAGCCACACUAGAACUGAGACACGGACCAGACUCCUACGGGAGGCAGCAGUAAGGAAUAUUGGACAAUGGGCGAAAGCCUGAUCCAGCCAUGCCGCGUGAGUGAUGAAGGCCUCAGGGUUGUAAAGCUCUUUUAGAUGGGAAGAUAAUGACUGUACCAUCAGAAUAAGCCCCGGCUAAAUUCGUGCCAGCCGCCGCCGUAA